This 363-nucleotide long non-coding RNA is filed under the name Oryza sativa Indica Group (long-grained rice). Its description in RNAcentral is "lncRNA OsZS97_07G007700". The record is from RNAcentral. Lineage: Eukaryota; Viridiplantae; Streptophyta; Magnoliopsida; Poales; Poaceae.
UGCUCUUCAUGGGCGUCGACGAUUCCGUUCCUCCUUAGUCCUGACACGCCAAGGAGGCAAAUAGGCUACAAAGCAGCUAGGGGUAGGCGCGCUUCAGCUCGACGCGGGAAGGGGAGAGAUGGGCGUCGCAGGCUCCGGUGCAGCACUGGGGACAGGGGAGGCGAUGCAGUUGAGGGGGGGGGGGGGGCGACCUCGCGCGUUGCGCAGCGUGGGAGAGGGAAAGAUGCAGCGCCGUGGGAGGAGAUGAUGCAGAUGCUGCGUAAGCAAAUCGACUGGAAAUAUCGUUGGACGUUUGAUUUUGAUCCAACGGAUAACAGUGCUAUCUGUGACUAUGAGGUGGAGCAAAGGGAGGUGAUUGGAUAA